GGGUUGGCCAUACAUGCGAGAAACGCGGCCUGGGAAUCAGGAGAUACGUAUGGAGCAGGCCACUCACAUCCAGCCAUCCAGGAUUGGAGGGGCACAAGUUUGGACAAGCCUCUCUGAAGGGUACUAGUAGUACAGGACAAAGCGCAAGAUCUUUUUGUCAGCUAUGGUGCUUGCAUUGCAUAUAAAGGCUGUGGCGAGAUGGAGUCCAUUAUAUUUUAAGACAACAACAAGGCAGGCGGCCGCGUUGCAUCCGAACAAGAGGCAAACACCGAUCACUCGAAAGGAUCA
RNAcentral lists this long non-coding RNA (288 nucleotides) under Zea mays. RNAcentral's name for it is "long non-coding RNA NONZMAT001243". Lineage: Eukaryota; Viridiplantae; Streptophyta; Magnoliopsida; Poales; Poaceae. The record is from RNAcentral.